Long non-coding RNA from Lolium perenne, 434 nucleotides. RefSeq lists it as uncharacterized. Lineage: Eukaryota; Viridiplantae; Streptophyta; Magnoliopsida; Poales; Poaceae. The record is from RefSeq and is a predicted model, not a curated record.
CUGAAGGAAAUAAUUCCAAUGCUUGCCACUUUUGUGGAAAAGGUGGGCAUAGGCGAAAGGAUUGUUUUGGCUUCAAGAAAUGGCUCAAAGAAAGAGGGAUUCAAUAUGAGGAAGACCCUAAAAAGAGGGGAAAGAACAAUUAGAGUUGCUAAUGGUGUUGAAGCUUAUGCCGAGGCGAUUGGAGACUUCACUCUUACACUUCAUGGCGGUUUUAAGCUUCAGCUAAAUAAUGUUCUUUAUGUACCCUCGAUGAAACGGAAUUUAGUUUCCGUCUCAUGUUUAGAUGAUGAUAGUUAUGAGUGUCACUUUGGGAAUAAGCAGUGUAUAAUUAUGUAUGACAAUAAUAAUGUUGGCCUUGCCUGUCGACACGACAAACUUUAUGUAAUUUCCCUUUGUGAUGAUAUAAAUAAUGUGGGUUCUACCUCAAAUAUAAA